CGCAAGCGAAGCUCUUGAUCGAAGCCCCGGUAAACGGCGGGCGUAACUAUAACGGUCCUAAGGUAGCGAAAUUCCUUGUCGGGUAAGUUCCGACCUGCACGAAUGGCGUAACGAUGGCGGCGCUGUCUCCACCCGAGACUCAGUGAAAUUGAAAUCGCUGUGAAGAUGCAGUGUAUCCGCGGCUAGACGGAAAGACCCCGUGAACCUUUACUAUAGCUUUGCACUGGACUUUGAAUUUGCUUGUGUAGGAUAGGUGGGAGGCUUUGAAGUGGGGACGCCAGUUCUCAUGGAGCCAUCCUUGAAAUACCACCCUGGCAACUUUGAGGUUCUAACUCAGGUCCGUUAUCCGGAUCGAGGACAGUGUAUGGUGGGUAGUUUGACUGGGGCGGUCUCCUCCC
RNAcentral lists this ribosomal RNA (398 nucleotides) under Klebsiella pneumoniae. RNAcentral's name for it is "partial 23S ribosomal RNA". It matches the Rfam family "Bacterial large subunit ribosomal RNA", at positions 1894 to 2291 of the family's 2925-position model. The record is from RNAcentral. Lineage: Bacteria; Pseudomonadati; Pseudomonadota; Gammaproteobacteria; Enterobacterales; Enterobacteriaceae.